Mustela erminea (ermine) is the source of this 677-nucleotide long non-coding RNA. RefSeq lists it as uncharacterized. The record is from RefSeq and is a predicted model, not a curated record. The transcript is spliced from 3 exons. Lineage: Eukaryota; Metazoa; Chordata; Mammalia; Carnivora; Mustelidae.
UGCUGGUGUCGGUAGGUCAUUGUGUUUAUUUCCCGAGCUGUAGGCAUUAUAGGAACAUACUCCCAUUUAUUUAUGGGAGUUCUCCUACUGAUGGACACUUGGGCUCUUUCCAGUUCUUUGCUAUUAUAAAUAAAGCUCUAUGGACAUUCUUGUACAAGUAACUUUGUGUACAAAUGUUUUCAUUUCUCUUGGGUAAAUAUCAAGGAGUGAAAAUCGUGGGUCAGAGCUGAAGUGGUUAUGACAUUUAUUCUCUCAUCAACAACGUAUGGUGGUUGUGGUCUUCAUCAGUCAUUCUGGUGGGUGUGUUGUGGUGCUUCGGUGCGGUUCAAGUCUGGAUUUCCCCAGCGAUCUAUGUGAAGAGUAUCCAAGGCAUGUGGACAGGAAGCGGUCUUUGAGAAGAAGCAAGGUCACGUGUGUUCCUACUGUUAUUCCCAAUUCCUGCCGUCCGGGGGUCUGCUGAGUUCGCCAUCGGCAGGUGCUGGAGGGCCCAGGAGGGACGGAAAGCCGCCCGAGAGAAGAGCUGGAGGCCGGGGAGGCCCAGAAGAAAGCCGGCGAGCCCGGGGGUCCUGAGGGCUGGGCCGCGGUUGCCAGCGAAAGCAGCCGCACAUCUCUGUAGGCUGAGCCGAGCCGGGCUGGCAUUUUCACGAAUAAAAUGCGGAGGAAACAUUUUAACGCAA